AUUAACAUUUUGUAGAGCAACAACACAAUAAAAAACCAAAAUAUGAACACCAGCAACUAAAACAGGAACCAUUAAAUGAAUAUUACACACAGCAAUAACAGCAUCAAAUAAUGGAAAUAAUGGACCCUACUGCUCAAAUCAAAAACAAAAUUUCAUCAUUACCACUUUAUUGGUUAUAUCAAUAAAAGAAAUUAUUGAGUUUAUGAGUCUAGAUCCUACAAGCAAGCAAUCUAUCACAUAAUUUUAAAUGAAGAUUUAUCUAUUAUAGUAAUUUAUUCUAAUAAC
RNAcentral lists this long non-coding RNA (285 nucleotides) under Sitophilus oryzae (rice weevil). RNAcentral's name for it is "uncharacterized LOC115878836, transcript variant X2". Lineage: Eukaryota; Metazoa; Arthropoda; Insecta; Coleoptera; Curculionidae. The record is from RNAcentral.